RNAcentral lists this ribosomal RNA (253 nucleotides) under uncultured bacterium. RNAcentral describes it as "partial 16S ribosomal RNA". It matches the Rfam family "Bacterial small subunit ribosomal RNA", at positions 524 to 776 of the family's 1533-position model. The record is from RNAcentral.
UACGUAGGGGGCAAGCGUUGUCCGGAAUCAUUGGGCGUAAAGAGCGUGUAGGCGGCCCGGUAAGUCCGCUGUGAAAGUCCAGGGCUCAACCCUGGGAUGCCGGUGGAUACUGUCGGGCUCGAGUCCGGAAGAGGAGUGUGGAAUUCCUGGUGUAGCGGUGAAAUGCGCAGAUAUCAGGAGGAACACCAAUGGCGAAGGCAGAUCUCUGGGCCGUAACUGACGCUGAGGCACGAAAGCGUGGGGAGCAAACAGG